CCUACGGGAGGCAGCAGUGGGGAAUCUUGCGCAAUGGGCGAAAGCCUGACGCAGCGACGCCGCGUGAGGGAUGAAGGUCUUCGGAUCGUAAACCUCUGUCAGCAGGGAAGAACGGUCACUGUGCUAAUCAGCAGUGAAUUGACGGUACCUGCAAAGGAAGCACCGGCUAACUCCGUGCCAGCAGCCGCGGUAAUACGGAGGGUGCGAGCGUUAAUCGGAAUUACUGGGCGUAAAGCGCUCGUAGGAGGUAUGUCCAGUCAAGGGUGAAAUCCCCGCGCUCAACGUGGGAACUGCCUUUGAAACUGGCAAACUGGAGUGUGUGAGAGGAUAGUGGAAUUCCAGGUGUAGGAGUGAAAGCCGUAGAUAUCUGGAGGAACAUCAGUGGCGAAGGCGACUAUCUGGCACAUAACUGACGCUGAGGAGCGAAAGCGUGGGUAGCAAACCGGAUUAGAUACCCCAGUAGUC
Molecule: ribosomal RNA, 465 nt
Filed under: uncultured bacterium
Lineage: Bacteria
Description: partial 16S ribosomal RNA
Rfam family: Bacterial small subunit ribosomal RNA
Source: RNAcentral